UGAGUACGAGAUGCUACGGCGUCGAAGCAGUCUAUGUCAUACUUCCAAGAAAAGCUUGCACUGUCAUAAACAAAUAAUGCCUGUACCAUAACCGACACAGGUGGGUAGGUAGAGUAUACUAAGGGGCGCGAGAUAACUCUCUCUAAGGAACUCGGCAAAAUGACUCCGUAACUUCGGGAGAAGGAGUGCCUUAUUUAUAAGGUUGCAAUAACAAGAUCCAAGCAACUGUUUACCAAAAACACAGGUCUCCGCUAAGUCGUAAGACGAUGUAUGGGGGCUGACGCCUGCCCAGUGCCAGAAGGUUAAAGAAGUUGGUUAGCAUCCGCGAAGCUGAUAACUGAAGCCCUGGUGAACGGCGGCCGUAACAAUAACGGUCCUAAGGUAGCGAAAUUCCUUGUCGGGUAAGUUCCGACCCGCACGAAAGGCGUAAUGAUUUGGAUACUGUCUCGGAGAGGGGCUCGGUGAAAUAGACUUGUCUGUGAAGAUGCGGACUACCUGCACCAGGACAGAAAGACCCUAUGAAGCUUUACUGUAACCUGAAAUUGAAAUUGGACUUUACUUGCGCAGUAUAGGUGGGAGGCGUUGAGAAUAUUCUUGCGGGAUUAUUGGAGCCAUCAGUGAGAUACCACUCUUGUAAUGUUAGAUUUCUAACUUUGUAUCAUUAUCUGGUCAAAGAACAGUUUCAGGCGGGCAGUUUGACUGGGGCGGUCGCCUCCUAAACGGUAACGGAGGCGCACAAAGGUUUCCUCUGAACGGGUAGAAAUCGUAUCUAGAGUGUAAAGGCAUAAGGAAGCUUGACUGUGAGACCUACAAGUCGAGCAGGGACGAAAGUCGGUCUUAGUGAUCUGACGGUGCUGAGUGGAAAGGCCGUCACUCAACGGAUAAAAGUUACUCUAGGAUAACAGGCUGAUCUCCCCCAAGAGUUCACAUCGACGGGGAGGUUUGGCACCUCGAUGUCGGCUCAUCGCAUCCUGGGGCGGUAGUACGUCCCAAGGGUUGGGCUGUUCGCCCAUGAAAGCGGUACGCGAGCUGGGUUCAGAACGUCGUGAGACAGUUCGGUCCAUAUCCGGUGUAGGCGUUAGAAUAUUGAGAGGAGCCUUCUUUAGUACGAGAGGACCGAGAAGGACAUACCUCUGGUGUACCAGUUAUCGUGCCAACGGUAAACGCUGGGUAGCUAUGUGUGGAGUGGAUAACCGCUGAAAGCAUCUAAGUGGGAAGCCCACCUCAAGAUAAGUAUUCUC
This 1241-nucleotide ribosomal RNA is filed under the name metagenome. Its description in RNAcentral is "bacterial LSU rRNA". It matches the Rfam family "Bacterial large subunit ribosomal RNA", at positions 1564 to 2815 of the family's 2925-position model. The record is from RNAcentral.